Molecule: ribosomal RNA, 449 nt
Filed under: uncultured bacterium
Lineage: Bacteria
Description: bacterial SSU rRNA
Rfam family: Bacterial small subunit ribosomal RNA
Source: RNAcentral
CGCCAGACUCCUACGGGAGGCAGCAGUGAGGGAUAUUGGUCAAUGGGGGAAACCCUGAUGCAGCGACGCCGCGUGAGUGAAGAAGUAAUUCGUUAUGUAAAGCUCUAUCAGCAGGGAAGAAAAUGACGGUACCUGAAGAAGAAGCCCCGGCUAACUACGUGCCAGCAGCCGCGGUAAUACGUAGGGGGCAAGCGUUAUCCGGAUUUACUGGGUGUAAAGGGGGCGCAGACGGCGAUGCAAGCCAGGAGUGAAAGCCCGGGGCCCAACCCCGGGACUGCAUUGGGAACUACCGGGCUGGAGUGCCGGAGAGGGAGGCGGAAUUCCUAGUGUAGCGGUGAAAUGCGUAGAUAUUAGGAGGAACACCAGUGGCGAAGGCGGCCUACUGGACGGUGACUGACGCUGAGGCUCGAAAGCGUGGGGAGCAAACAGGAUUAGAUACCCGCGUAUAU